GCCUCCCUCCGCCGCCACUCAGACUACCGUACGGGACGGCGACGCAGGUGGGUAAGUUUUGGCGUCAAGUACGGGGAAACCCGUGGACGCAGCAACGCCGCGUGGAGGAGUGAAAUCCUUGGAUGUAAACUCCUUUCGAUAGGGAAGAUAAUGACGGUACCUAUAGAAGAAGCCCGGCUAACUUCGUGCCAGCAGCCGCGGUAAUAC
Molecule: ribosomal RNA, 207 nt
Filed under: uncultured bacterium
Lineage: Bacteria
Description: partial 16S ribosomal RNA
Rfam family: Bacterial small subunit ribosomal RNA
Source: RNAcentral